AACAGAUAUAAACAAUGAACUCGGCGUAAAUACAUAAAAGGCGCAGAGCGCGAGCGCCCGAGAUGGCGGCCGCAGCUCCGCACGUACAGAAACGGGGGGAAGCCGAGGCUGGCGGCGGCAUUCAUAAGGCAAAGCGGUUCCGCUGAUGUCCACACGGUGGAGACGCAGCACAAUCAGAGGCCCUUGACUGGACUGGAAAUGCCCUGUAUGUUCUGCUGCGAUUGUCCUCUGAGAGGGAUUGAGGAUAAUUCUUUAAAUCAGAUACUGUGGAGAGGAUAUGCCAGCAGACUGGAAUCAAACCCCAAAACUACCAACGUGGAAGAAGGAAACUCCCCACCAUGCAGGCCAAAAAUAAGCACAUAAAGAAACUGAAAACGCAGAUGUGAUUAUAACAAAGAAAAACACAUGAUGCUGUAAUAAAGCAUUAAAAAGAA
Non-coding RNA from Paramormyrops kingsleyae, 434 nucleotides. The record is from RefSeq and is a predicted model, not a curated record. Lineage: Eukaryota; Metazoa; Chordata; Actinopteri; Osteoglossiformes; Mormyridae.